UAGUCCACGCCGUAAACGAUGUUCACUCGCUGUUUGGGAUACACACUAAGCGGCCAAGCGAAAGCAUUAAGUGAACCACCUGGGGAGUACGUUGACAACAAUGAAACUCAAAGGAAUUGACGGGGACCCGCACAAGCGGUGGAACAUGUGGUUUAAUUCGAUGAUACGCGAGGAACCUUACCUGGACUAUAAUGUGAUUGCCAUUCUGAGAGAUCAGAAGUUCUUCGGACAUGAAACAAGGUGCUGCAUGGCCGUCGUCAGCUCGUGCCGUGAGGUGUUGGGUUAAGUCCCGCAACGAGCGCAACCCUUGUCCCUAGUUGCCAGCACAUUAUGGUGGGAACUCUAGGGAGACUGCCCGCGUAAGCGGAGAGGAAGGUGGGGAUGACGUCAAAUCAUCAUGGCCUUUAUGCCCAGGGCGACACACGUGCUACAAUGGUACAUACAGAGGGUUGCCAAGCCGCGAGGUGGAGCUAAUCCCAGAAAGUGUAUCCCAGUUCGGAUC
This 502-nucleotide ribosomal RNA is filed under the name uncultured bacterium. RNAcentral describes it as "bacterial SSU rRNA". It matches the Rfam family "Bacterial small subunit ribosomal RNA", at positions 791 to 1299 of the family's 1533-position model. The record is from RNAcentral.